Molecule: transfer RNA, 91 nt
Filed under: Thelonectria olida
Lineage: Eukaryota; Fungi; Ascomycota; Sordariomycetes; Hypocreales; Nectriaceae
Rfam family: tRNA
About the family: Transfer RNA (tRNA) molecules are approximately 80 nucleotides in length. Their secondary structure includes four short double-helical elements and three loops (D, anti-codon, and T loops). Further hydrogen bonds mediate the characteristic L-shaped molecular structure. tRNAs have two regions of fundamental functional importance: the anti-codon, which is responsible for specific mRNA codon recognition, and the 3' end, to which the tRNAs corresponding amino acid is attached (by aminoacyl-tRNA synthetases). tRNAs cope with the degeneracy of the genetic code in two manners: having more than one tRNA (with a specific anti-codon) for a particular amino acid; and 'wobble' base-pairing, i.e. permitting non-standard base-pairing at the 3rd anti-codon position.
Source: Rfam by way of RNAcentral
GGGGAUUUGGUCUAGGGGAAUGACAUUCGUUUUGCAUUGUCUCAAAUGCAAAAUUUACGAAAGGUCGGGGGUUCAAUUCCCCCAAUCUCCA